AGGGGGGAGGGAGGGAGAGAGAGAGAGCCAGGGGAGAGGGAGGGAGAGAGAAGGGGUGGUGCGGCAAAGGAAAAGUUGGUCGGGUGUUGGAGAUAGAGAGAGAGGGGAGAGGGAUGGAGGAAGGGAGAGGAGAGGAGAAAGGGAGAGGGGACAAAAGACAAGAGAAGUGCAGUGGAAAGAGAAGCGAAUGGAUAGAUAGAAAGGGGGUGUGGAGAGGAGACAUAAGAGAAUGAUAGAUAGAGGGGGUGUGGAGAGGAGACAUAAGAGAAUGAUAGAUAGAGGGGGGGUGUGGAGAGGAGACAUAAGAGAAUGAUAGAUAGAGAGGGGGUGUGGAGAGGAGACAUAAGAUAAUGAUAGAUAGAGAGGGGGUGGAGAGGAGACAGAAGAGAAUGAUAGAUAGAGAGGGGGUGUGGAGAGGAGACAUAAGAGAAUGAUAGAUAGAGAGGGGGUGUGGAGAGGAGACAGAAGAGAAUGAUGAUAGAGAGGGAGGGGGUGUGGAGAGGAGACAGAAGAGAAUGAUAGAUAGAGAGGGGGUGUGGAGAGGAGACAUAAGAGAAUGAUAGAUAGAGAGGGGGUGUGGAGAGGAGACAUAAGAUAAUGAUAGAUAGAGAGGGGGUGUGGAGAGGAGACAUAAGAGAAUGAUAGAUAGAGGGGGGGUGUGGAGAGGAGACAGAAGAAGAGGGGAGGACAAGGGGACAUUGGGUAUUACGUGGAGAACCGA
Long non-coding RNA from Oncorhynchus tshawytscha (Chinook salmon), 721 nucleotides. NCBI's taxonomy places the organism in Eukaryota, Metazoa, Chordata, Actinopteri, Salmoniformes, Salmonidae. The record is from Ensembl.